GUCGAGAAUCUUGGGCAAUGCACGAAAGUGUGACCCAGCGACGCCGCGUGAAGGAUGAAGGCCCUCUGGGUCGUAAACUUCUUUUAUGAGGAAAGAAAACCCUUUACUGGGCUUGACGGUACCUCAUGAAUAAGCCACGGCUAACUACGUGCCAGCAGCCGCGGUAAUACGUAGGUGGCAAGCGUUGUCCGGAUUUACUGGGCGUAAAGCGAACGCAGGCGGAUACUUAAGUAGAGAGUGAAAGGCGGGAGCUCAACUCCUGGACUGCUCCCUAUACUGGGUGUCUUGAGUGGCGGAGAGGAAGAUGGAACAAAUCGUGUAGCGGUGAAAUGCGUAGAUAUGAUUUGGAACACCAAUGGCGAAAGCAAUCUUCUGGACGCAAACUGACGCUGAGGUUCGAAAGCCAUGGUAGCGAACAGGAUUAGAUACCCUGGUAGUCAUGGCCAUAAACGAUGUUCACCAGGUGUCGGGGCUUCGCCUCGGUGCCGCAGCUAACGCAUUAAGUGAACCGCCUGGGAACUACGGCCGCAAGGU
RNAcentral lists this ribosomal RNA (534 nucleotides) under uncultured bacterium. Its description in RNAcentral is "bacterial SSU rRNA". It matches the Rfam family "Bacterial small subunit ribosomal RNA", at positions 354 to 894 of the family's 1533-position model. The record is from RNAcentral.